GCGUGGAGCAGAAAGAAGUGGAGGUUAAGUAUGCGAAGACAGAAGAUCAGAUUGCGGAUAUUUUCACGAAGCCCUUGAAGCAUGAUGUGUUCGUCAAGAUGAGGACGUUACUCGGAGUUACGAAGAAUUAAUGUUUGAGGGAGAGUGUUGAAAUCAAUAAAAGCCUAAUUAAAUAAAAAUUAAUAUGAAGAUAUUUUCAGAGUUGAAGAUUGAAUGGUUUCAAGCUGAAGGAGUUUUCUGGAGAAUGGAUUUGAAAAAAUUUAGUGACAAAUGGGUUGGUGUGAAUUAACAAGUGGAGUUUAUGGAGAAAGUAGUUUGUGAAGAAGAAUGAAGAUGAUGAAUCUGGAUAGAAGAAGGAAACAAAAUAAAAAAAUGAAAAUAUCUAUAGUCUAAGCCGGUUUAUUGAUAGUAUACAUAGGUUAUGGGUGUAUGUGUUUUAGGUGUAAGUCAAAAAUAAAA
This 459-nucleotide long non-coding RNA is filed under the name Linum usitatissimum (flax). RNAcentral's name for it is "long non-coding RNA (LUSI_LNC003371)". The record is from RNAcentral. Lineage: Eukaryota; Viridiplantae; Streptophyta; Magnoliopsida; Malpighiales; Linaceae.